Molossus molossus (Pallas's mastiff bat) is the source of this 1050-nucleotide long non-coding RNA. RefSeq lists it as uncharacterized. The record is from RefSeq and is a predicted model, not a curated record. The transcript is spliced from 3 exons. Lineage: Eukaryota; Metazoa; Chordata; Mammalia; Chiroptera; Molossidae.
CCGCGACGCCGGGCCCCUGACGUCACCCGAUUCGCCAGGAAAUGAACUUUUUAAUAAUCCGAGAGGGAGGAAAGCCCUCGGUUCCCUCGAUUCGGGGGACGCCCGGCCCAACCCAGAUCCACGCGAGUGCCUCUGUCUCUUUUUCAGGCUACCUGUGGGCAGCGUCAAGGGGUCUCGGGCCCAAACCAGGGGUCUCCUCCUUCCUCUGCGUCUUGCUGUGGCGCAGGUAAAGGCGCGGGGCUGAGGGCUCAGAGCCCCAUCCGGCUGGGAACCAGUGCGUCUCGGCCCUGGGGAACCCGCCUGCCCAGACCGGCCACUGAGCCUUCUGCUCCACUCCAUUCUGGCGCGCGCGGGGCCCAGACUUCUUGGAACUCCGCUCCGCGAUACAGGAGGCUAGCUCCCGCCGGCUAAAGCGCACCGGGGUCGGGAGUAGGAGAGCGAGGCCGCGGGCACCGGGUUUCCGAGGCCGUGUCCGGCAGUUUACGAUUCUUCAUCAAUGCCUAAAAUGCGAUCGCCGAGAAACCUCCAGCCUGUUUUGUGUCCCUGGAACCUAGCAAGACCUUCUCAAAGACAACGCAACCCCAGGGACAACCAACCGCCCAUGUCCGGCAAGACUGCAUCACUAUAGUUCGAAUCCUCGGACUCAGCGUGAGGGGACGCCAGCCCCAUGGCCGGCCGCGGGGCCAUUAACGCAGGAGCGGAGCAGACGCUUCCCUCGAGGCGGCGAUCGGUGCCUCGGUUCGCAGGGAGGUGGCCGCUCCGAGCGCUCGGGAAAGCAGGGAAAUGAGCGGCCGCCACACCCGGGGACCCUGAACGCCGGACCUUUCUCCUCUGGUUGGGGCAACCUAGAGUUCAAGCCUGGCUUCCACAGAAGGAUUCUAUGUGCCAAUCGUCCAGACAAACCCAAACCGCCAUCUACCCCCCUCCCUCCCGCGGCGUAUCCCCCAGCCCGCGAUGGCCCAUUCUGCUUGAAAUCCCACUAAAAGGAUUCCGACUUCGGCUUGGAGCAGGGGGGAGACUUUAAGACCCCGCGCUCUCCGCUUCAGGAAC